UAAUACUGACACUGAGGCUCGAAAGCGUGGGUAGCAAACAGGAUUAGAUACCCUGGUAGUCCACGCCGUAAACGAUGUCUACUAGUCGUUGGGUCCCUUGAGGACUUAGUGACGCAGCUAACGCAAUAAGUAGACCGCCUGGGGAGUACGGCCGCAAGGUUAAAACUCAAAUGAAUUGACGGGGGCCCGCACAAGCGGUGGAGCAUGUGGUUUAAUUCGAUGCAACGCGAAGAACCUUACCUGGUCUUGACAUAUCUAGAAUCCUGCAGAGAUGCGGGAGUGCCUUCGGGAAUUAGAAUACAGGUGCUGCAUGGCUGUCGUCAGCUCGUGUCGUGAGAUGUUGGGUUAAGUCCCGCAACGAGCGCAACCCUUGUCCUUAGUUACCAGCGGGUUAAGCCGGGAACUCUAAGGAUACUGCCAGUGACAAACUGGAGGAAGGCGGGGACGACGUCAAGUCAUCAUGGCCCUUACGACCAGGGCUACACACGUGCUACAAUGGUAGGUACAGAGGGCAGCUACACAGCGAUGUGAUGCGAAUCUCAAAAAGCCUAUCGUAGUCCAGAUUGGAGUCUGCAACUCGACUCCAUGAAGUAGGAAUCGCUAGUAAUCGCGGAUCAGAAUGCCGCGGUGAAUACGUUCCCGGGCCUUGUACACACCGCCCGUCACACCAUGGGAGUUGAUUGCACCAGAAGUGGAUAGCUUAACCUUCGGGGGAGCGUUCACCACGGUGUGGUUGAUGACUGGGGUGAAGUCGUAACAAGGUAGCCGUA
This 770-nucleotide ribosomal RNA is filed under the name uncultured bacterium. Its description in RNAcentral is "bacterial SSU rRNA". It matches the Rfam family "Bacterial small subunit ribosomal RNA", at positions 735 to 1504 of the family's 1533-position model. The record is from RNAcentral.